This 1366-nucleotide long non-coding RNA is filed under the name Sus scrofa (pig). Its description in RNAcentral is "lncRNA (ENSSSCG00015033161.1)". The record is from RNAcentral. Lineage: Eukaryota; Metazoa; Chordata; Mammalia; Artiodactyla; Suidae.
CAGGCAUGCAGCCUAGAAACUAAAACAACCUACCUGAUUGUGCAUAGAUUUUUAAAAGUGUCCAGUGAUCUGUCUAAAGAGAAUAUAAGUGUUUGUGAAAUGAAUUAAAAGGGUAAAAAAAGGAAAUGAAACAUGAUGAAGUAACAGACCAACAUGAAAAAGAAAGAAUAAGACUCAGAAGAAAACCAGAUGAACAUUCAGAAAUUAAAAAUAUUAUUGUGGCAAUUGGCUUUAGAUGGGUUAAAUAGCAUAUUAGAUAUUCUUGCUUUCACUGAAAAUGAAAGAAAAUAUAACAAUAAAUGUUUAAGAACUAAAGCUAAACUGUAAUGACCCAAAAGUAAAAAGUUGAAAAAACAGAGUUGAAAAAAAUGCUUAGCUGAUGUAAAACAAAACAAAAAACCCUUAGGAAAAUAUCAGGCAAAAAUAGAUUUUGAAGGUGAAACAUUGUUAUGGAUAAAGAGGGCCAUUGCAUAAUGGUAUGAUGGAAUAAUUCACCAGGAAGAAAUAAUAAUUUUGAGCCUUUAUGUCUAAAUAAUAUUAUCUUUAUGUCUAUAAAUAGUAUAUAAAACAAAAUUUUAUGUACUAAAAAUGGAGUACCUAAAGAUAGAGGGAAAUUUUAACACAUUUCCUUCAGAAGCCAACAGAUAAAUCAGACCACUGCUACCACCAUCCCCAAGACAUAAAAUGGGAAUUCUAAAAUAAGAUUUCCCAUCACCUUAACUGAAAGAGUUUAUAUAGUUUUAAGACCGUUUCAGUCUGUGGAGUGAGAAUCUCCUCUUGGAUUUUUCUGUUGGUGAAGAUGGCCCUUUAGUGCACUGACCAUUCUUUUGCCUAAAUAUACCUCAGCCUCAUGGCAAAGAUCUACUAAAGUGGAGAUUCAGUUAUGUGUACUCUCUGGGGCACAGGUAUAGUUUGAGAAUGUUUUGGUUAUGACAAAGAACAAUCUAAGAUUUGAGGAAAUCAAGAGAAAAGAGAGGAGUUCUUGUCGUGGCUCAGUGGUUAACAAAUCUGGAUAGGAACCCCUCAUGAAUGCUAGUCAUACUCGUUUCUGCUGAGAACAUUUUGCUGAGUGUGUGCUGCUGGAAAACUGUCUCACAAGUCAUAGAGAAUUCAGGGAGAAAAUGGAGUCAUCCAAAUCAUUUAUUGUUAUCCAACUGUAUACAUAGGGCACUUUAGAGUCACUAAUAAAAGGAAAUGCCCACCUACCCCCCCAAACUGAAAUAAUUCAAGAUAGAUUGUAUCAUCUUUAAGAGAAAUAUAGACUUCAAGGAUUUUGUAAAAAUAAAAAUUUUGGCAGCAAUAAAAAAGUAAAAACAUAGAAUAUUUGGACAACACAAUUAACAAAUGUGUUUAAAACUUAUACUAU